Molecule: ribosomal RNA, 868 nt
Filed under: Thelephora tenuirhizomorpha
Lineage: Eukaryota; Fungi; Basidiomycota; Agaricomycetes; Thelephorales; Thelephoraceae
Description: Tomentella tenuirhizomorpha partial large subunit ribosomal RNA
Rfam family: Eukaryotic large subunit ribosomal RNA
Source: RNAcentral
CCCCUAGUAACUGCGAGUGAAGCGGGAUGAGCUCAAAUUUAAAAUCUGGCGUGCCUCUGGUCGCCCGAGUUGUAGUCUGGAGAAGCGUCUUCCGUGUUGGACCGUGUAUAAGUCUCUUGGAACAGGGCGUCAUAGAGGGUGAGAAUCCCGUCUUUGACACGGACUACCAAUGCUUUGUGAUGCGCUCUCAAAGAGUCGAGUUGUUUGGGAAUGCAGCUCAAAAUGGGUGGUAAAUUCCAUCUAAAGCUAAAUAUAGGCGAGAGACCGAUAGCGAACAAGUACCGUGAGGGAAAGAUGAAAAGCACUUUGGAAAGAGAGUUAAACAGUACGUGAAAUUGCUGAAAGGGAAACGCUUGAAGUCAGUCAUGUCUGCCAGGACUCAGCCUUGCUUCUGCUUGGUGUACUUUCUGGUUUGAUGGGCCAACAUCAAUUUUGACCAUUGGAGAAAGGCUUUGGGAAUGUGGCACCUUCGGGUGUGUUAUAGCCCUUUGUCAUAUACAGUGGUUGGGAUUGAGGACUGCAGCACGCCUUUAUGGCCGGGGUUCGCCUACGUACGUGCUUUGGAUGUUGGCAUAAUGGCUUUAAGCGACCCGUCUUGAAACACGGACCAAGGAGUCUAACAUGCCUGCGAGUGUUUGGGUGGAAAACCCAUGCGCGUAAUGAAAGUGAUAGCUGAGAUCCUCUCAUCAGGAGCACCAGCGCCUGGACUUGAUCUACGGAGACAGUUCUACGGUAGAGCAUGUAUGUUGGGACCCGAAAGAUGGUGAACUAUGCCUGAAUAGGGUGAAGCCAGAGGAAACUCUGGUGGAGGCUCGUAGCGAUUCUGACGUGCAAAUCGAUCGUCAAAUUUGGGUAUAGGGGCGAAAGA